GACAGAGGGUGCAAACGUUGUUCGGAUUUACUGGGCGUAAAGCGUGCGCAGGCGGUUCGUUGUGUCGGCGGUGAAAGCCCCGGGCUCAACCUGGGAAUGGCCGUUGAAACUGGCGAACUGGAGUGUGGCAGAGGGGGGUGGAAUUCCGCGUGUAGCAGUGAAAUGCGUAGAGAUGCGGAGGAACACCGAUGGCGAAGGCAGCCCCCUGGGCUGACACUGACGCUCAGGCACGAAAGCGUGGGGAGCAAACAGG
This 253-nucleotide ribosomal RNA is filed under the name uncultured bacterium. Its description in RNAcentral is "partial 16S ribosomal RNA". It matches the Rfam family "Bacterial small subunit ribosomal RNA", at positions 524 to 776 of the family's 1533-position model. The record is from RNAcentral.